UACUGUGAAACUGCGAAUGGCUCAUUAAAUCAGUUAUGGUUUAUUUGAUGGUACCUACUACUUGGAUAACCGUAGUAAUUCUAGAGCUAAUACAUGCAGGAAGACCCGACUUCGGAAGGGUUGUAUUUAUUAGAUAAGAAACCAAUCCAGCUUGCUGGUUGCGUGCCGAGUCACAAUAACUGCUCGAAUCGCAUGACUUUACGUCGGCGAUGGUUCAUUCAAAUUUCUGCCCUAUCAGCUUUCGAUGGUAGGAUCGAGGCCUACCAUGGCGUUUACGGGUAACGGAGAAUUAGGGUUCGAUUCCGGAGAGGGAACCUGAGAAAUGGCUACCACAUCCAAGGAAGGCAGCAGGCGCGUAAAUUGCCCGAAUCCUGACACAGGGAGGUAGUGACAAGAAAUAACGUUACAGGGCUACAUUAGUUUGUAAUUGGAAUGAGUACAAUUUACAUCUCUUAACGAUGAUCAAUUGGAGGGCAAGUCUGGUGCCAGCAGCCGCGGUAAUUCCAGCUCCAAUAGCGUAUAUUAAAGUUGUUGCAGUUAGAACGCUCGUAGUCGGAUUUCGGGGCGUUCCGACCGGUCUGCCGAUGGGUAUGCACUGGCCGGAGUGUCCUUUUUGCCGGAGACCGUGCCUACUCUUAACUGAGCGGGGGCGGGAGACGGCACUUGUACUUUGAAAAAAUCAGAGUGUUUCAAGCAGGCAGCUCGCUCUUGCAUGGAUUAGCAUGGGAUAAUGAAAUAGGACUUUGGUGCUAUUUUG
RNAcentral lists this ribosomal RNA (757 nucleotides) under uncultured marine Prymnesiales. RNAcentral describes it as "SSU rRNA". It matches the Rfam family "Eukaryotic small subunit ribosomal RNA", at positions 77 to 843 of the family's 1831-position model. The record is from RNAcentral. Lineage: Eukaryota; Haptophyta; Prymnesiales.